This 78-nucleotide transfer RNA is filed under the name Streptomyces viridochromogenes. Its description in RNAcentral is "tRNA-Trp". The stretch from base 3 to 72 matches the Rfam family "tRNA". From Rfam's summary of the family: Transfer RNA (tRNA) molecules are approximately 80 nucleotides in length. The record is from RNAcentral. Lineage: Bacteria; Bacillati; Actinomycetota; Actinomycetes; Kitasatosporales; Streptomycetaceae.
GCGGGUGUAGCGCAGUGGUCGACGCGCGCGGUCUCCAAAAUCGCGAGGACGCCGGUUCGAAUCCGGCCACCCAGCCCA